GGGGGUAUAGCUCAGCUGGUUAGAGCGCUGGCCUGUCAAGCCAGAGGUCGCGAGUUCAAGUCUCGUUACUCCCGCCA
Molecule: transfer RNA, 77 nt
Filed under: Actinomycetes bacterium
Lineage: Bacteria; Bacillati; Actinomycetota; Actinomycetes
Description: tRNA-Asp
Rfam family: tRNA
About the family: Transfer RNA (tRNA) molecules are approximately 80 nucleotides in length.
Source: RNAcentral